CAGGACGAACGCUGGCGGCGUGCUUAACACAUGCAAGUCGAGCGGAAAGGCCCCUUCGGGGGUACUCGAGCGGCGAACGGGUGAGUAACACGUGGGCAACCUGCCCCAGACACCGGGAUAACUGUCCGAAAGGACAGCUAAUACCGGAUGACGCGCAACCUGCCAAGUGGGUUGCGCUAAAGGUAGCUUCGGCCUCCGGUCUGGGAUGGGCCCGCGCAGCAUUAGCUUGUUGGUGAGGUAACGGCCCACCAAGGCUACGAUGCUUAGCUAGUCUGAGAGGACGAUCAGCCACACUGGGACUGAGAUACGGCCCAGACUCCUACGGGAGGCAGCAGUGGGGAAUCUUGCGCAAUGGGCGAAAGCCUGACGCAGCAACGCCGCGUGCGGGAAGAAGGCCUUCGGGUUGUAAACCGCUGUCGGGAGGGACGAAGCCACUCGGGUGAAUAGCCCAGAGGGUGACGGUACCUCCAAAGGAAGGUCCGGCUAACUACGUGCCAGCAGCCGCGGUAAUACGUAGGGACCUAGCGUUGUCCGGAAUUAUUGGGCGUAAAGCGCGUGUAGGCGGCUUGGCAAGUCCGGUGUGAAAACUCGGUGGCUUAACCCCGAGCCUGCAUUGGAAACUGCCUUGCUUGAGUCCGGAAGAGGAGACUGGAAUUCCUGGUGUAGCGGUGAAAUGCGCAGAUAUCAGGAAGAACACCUGUGGCGAAGGCGGGUCUCUGGGACGGUACUGACGCUGAGACGCGAAAGCGUGGGGAGCAAACAGGAUUAGAUACCCUGGUAGUCCACGCCGUAAACGAUGGGCACUAGGUGUGGGAGGUGUCGACUCCUUCCGUGCCGUAGCUAACGCAUUAAGUGCCCCGCCUGGGGAGUAC
RNAcentral lists this ribosomal RNA (872 nucleotides) under uncultured bacterium. RNAcentral's name for it is "bacterial SSU rRNA". It matches the Rfam family "Bacterial small subunit ribosomal RNA", at positions 25 to 883 of the family's 1533-position model. The record is from RNAcentral.